CGAUAUAGAAGCGCGACAGUGGCUGGAAUACGGACGGAGUAGCUACACAAACUGUAACAUGAGUUUUUACAGUUGGAACGAGGAAGCGAAGAGCACACGGCUUGACCGAGAAAUUAACAUUGAGAAAAAUAAAAGGAACGCAUCAUCGACUUGGUCGCAAGCCGAAAGGUUGUUCUUCUGUUAUUGUGUUACGGUUUUUUUUCUUUUAUCUCAACACUCCAAAUCGCUGCUUGAACAAGAAUAAGAGGAAAAUAAUGUCUAUAUCCUGAUGAUUAAAAUGUAUGAUUUUGUAUUUUCAAAUCAGGAAUUUGAAUAUACAUUAUAAAUGAAUUUCAAAAUAUUGGCAAACUGCUGAAAUGAUAUAUAUAUAUAUAUACCCUCUUCUCUCCCUACCUUUUCGCGCUUUUCUCUCUCUCUCUCUAUCCCGCGCGUUUUUUUUAUAUACUUCAAUAUCUCAUAUCCAGAAACAGAGAGACGAUAAACGGGUAUGUAUCAAGUUCACAUCAAUAAAUAAGUCCUUGCCGAAUUGUCAACUAUAUAUAGUAUUAUGUUUAUUGUGAUACGAAAGUAUAUUUUUUGACCACACUUAUUUAUUGCGCGUGGCGAGAACGUGUGAUAUACACACGGCGCUGUGGUUAUACGAUCAUAUAUACGAAUAAUCCGAAUUCGUAAUUCUUUCAAAUAAAGCAGGUGGUGGAAUAAUAAGCGGGUAUAUAUAGGGGAAAAUGUGUGACACGUGUGCAAGGGCAUAUAUUGAUUAUCCAGUAAAAAUAUGCCCGAUUCCGGGCCGUUUUUUUUAAUGCUUGUUGUCGCCUAAAAAAUUUUCUUCUCCAAAAACGAAACUGACUUGACUUACCACGUACUUAUAUUAUUAUGUUUAUGUCUCAUCGGAUCAACGCUACGCGGAGGGAGUGCACGGAUCGCCGAUGGUACUGCCAUCACGAGAGAGGUCGAACAAAUUCUAUAUAUCGGCAAGAAAAUCCAAUAUAUAUGGCACGCGUACGUGAAAAUUUGAAAAAUUUCAAAAGCUCGUUCCAAAUGUUGUCUUAUACGCGCGUGAUUCGUGGUGUCUGUGAUAACAAAGAAUACAUAUGAUUAAAAUAUCGGAAGGACAAAAAAAAUGUAAGAUCCGUCGUUAUUUUCAUAAUAUUCCCAAAUACUUUGUCCCAAUGAGCAGAAUAGUACAAGAUGAGACGGAAGAAAAAAUACAAAGCGAGAAUGUUUAAUAGGAAUCUUUUCAACGGUUUUCGGGGUACUUCAAAAUCUUGAAUAAAUUUCAGGCUAACGCUUUUUCAUUUAUUUUGUACAUACUUCAAACCUGGAACAAUAUUUAAUCAUAGUACUUUUUUGUCUUCCCGGAAUUAGCGAACCAUUCAUUUUUAUCAUUAUCACGGAGACAAAUAGCAAAGCGAGAUGUAACAUUCGUUUUUUCAUGAUCACUAUUAUUAAUAUUUAUAUAAUUAUCGACAGUGACUGUUGGAAGUAGUUUGUUAAACGAUGAUGAUACAAUAUACGAUUAGUCGUGUGAAAAAGUUCUGAUACAGGCCACUCUCGUUAUACAAUUACACCUAAACGUUUGUUUCUUUUCUAUUGAUUUUCUUCAUAUUUUUUCUAUCCAGUUUUUUUAGAAAUUAAAUAAUACAUCAUCAGGGCACGGGUGAGGUUUGCUGAAUCGCGAAGAAUAUCAACCACUGUUAAUGAGAAACAAAAAACCAACAGGAUAUUGAGUAUUGCUUUGCGAUUGUGUACGUUUAAAAAGAUUCUCCACGCGCGCUACCAACAUUUUCAGCUAAACAUCUCUCCGCACGCGAUGUAGUAGUGAAGAAUUAUGAUCGUCUCGGUACUUGGCGACACGUGCUACUAUACAACACACACACACACACACACACACACACACACACACAGCUCAAGCGCUCUCUCUCUCUCUCUCUCUCUCUCGCUUGCUUUUAAUUUUCUGUAAUUUUACAAUAAGACGAUUGUGAACUACCUUAAUUAUCAUAUAAUAAGACUAUGUAAUAAAAUUAACAAUGAAUUUCACUCAUUAUACGAACUGCAAACGUUCGCGUGAAAACUACUGCAUACGGAUAAA
This is a long non-coding RNA of Venturia canescens, 2089 nucleotides long. RefSeq lists it as uncharacterized. NCBI's taxonomy places the organism in Eukaryota, Metazoa, Arthropoda, Insecta, Hymenoptera, Ichneumonidae. The transcript has 3 exons. The record is from RefSeq and is a predicted model, not a curated record.